AGUGGCAAGCAUAAGGGACGAAGGCGGGGGUAAACACCGAAGUUAAGCGUGCUUGGGCGAGAGUAGUACUAGGAUGGGUGACCUCCUGGGAAGUCCUCGUGUUGCAUUCC
RNAcentral lists this ribosomal RNA (110 nucleotides) under Triticum aestivum (bread wheat). RNAcentral also lists the same sequence under 1 other name. The record is from RNAcentral. Lineage: Eukaryota; Viridiplantae; Streptophyta; Magnoliopsida; Poales; Poaceae.